UUAGUGUGACCCGAGGGUGUUGAGUUAUGACAACGUCUCUCUUGUAGUUACUGUUCCUCUUCCCUUUGGUGGCCAGUGAUGGAUGGAGAAACUGAUGUCGGGAAUCCUCUGGAAACCUCCGCAAUCACCGGAAAUGAUGAGGAAUGAUGAGGAAUGAUGACAGCCGUAUGGAAGCAUUCCAGGCACCAGGAGGAGCCUGCCUGUCUGUACAGCACUUCCAGCCACCCUCGCUCCCUCUCUUGGCCUCGUGUUCCAACUUCCAUCCGUGACGUGUGCUGACCUGUCCCCCCUCCAUUCAGUGACCAAGGAGGUGAGCCAGGAGAGGAGAGCAGGCAGCCCAUGGACAAUGAAGAGACAGGCGCUGACAACCCUCUGCUGAAUGGAGAUGCCAGUGGCCAAGGAGAGGAAGGUCUUCUAGGAAUGGAGGAUGGAAAGCUGUUAGACAAUGACCGAGCAGACACUGAAACCUAUCAGAAGACACAUGCUGAUUCCCAUCCACUGAAUGUACCCAAGGUUGUCAGGGUUAACGAUGAGACUAAGUAACCGACUCCUGGUGCACAGAGUCCAGGACCUCCUCAGAUGAAUGGAGGUCCUCCCAUGUCUAACAGAGCUGCAGGGGAGACCACUGCUCUAUUGGACAAACAGGCCUUGGACAAGGACCAAGUCACCAAACCUCCUGAGUUAAUAGACCAAGGACCUAAUGACAUGGAGUCAAGAGGAGAACUGUAACAAACGGUGGACGUUUGUAUAACAAAAGAGAACCUAACACCAUAUGAUAAGAUACAGUAAUACAUUAUAUAACAUAUAUAUUAUUUGUGACUUGCUUCAUCAUAAUCAGUCAUGUCAACACAUUCUGAAAAGUGUAUUUUAUUACUCAUUUUAGACUCUAGAUGAUGUUACAUCAGACUUGAUUUAAACCACUGUUUUCAUAGGAAAGCAUGAUUGGUCAGUUCAAACAGGAUGUUAUCUUUAUAAUGCAAUAUAGGAGCAUUAGUAACACCUUCUAUUCAUAAUGCAUCAGGAUGCACAACAUAGGUGCUAAUAACUGCUCAUGAACAUCUAUAACUGCAUAAAGCAUUAUCACCACGAUGUGUAAUGACUUAUGAAGCAAAGUAUUACUAUGCCAGAUACCACAUUAGGAUCAUUAUAUUAUACAUUAUGUGCUCAUUAAGCUAAAAAGUAGUAAGCAAUUGCAAAGUUGCUAAUUAGCAAAAAUGCUAAAAUAUCCCGUGAUGAUAUUCGAACACGCAACCUUUGGGUUGUUAGACGUUCGCCUGCUCUCACACCCAUCCGAAACCAAAGCAUGGAUUACUGUCUGAGCUUGUCCAUAGACUGCUUACAGCUUAAAGUAAGCUAAAUACAUUUUUAAAUUAGGGUGAACUGUCCCUUUAACAGGAGUGCGGAACUCCUACGUGAAGUCGUUACAGUAUAGCCCUCUGACACAUUUUCCUAAAGAGUCUUUCAUGAGGUCACACCACUUAGCUUCAUAAUCAUAAGGCAUUAUGCUGCCUGCUUAAAAUGCUGAAGGAAUAUAGACAUGUAUUAGCCAUUAGUGCCUAUGUCAUGCAAUAUGAUGUAUAUAUUCAUAGAUUAUAAGGUGUUAUAAAUACACUUAUCACACAUUAUCAAGAGGGUAUUCAUAGGACGUGUUACCCACAGGUCUUGCAGAAGGAACUGUACCCCACAUCCCUACCUACUAGGAACAUUGUGAAAAAUACCACAACUUUAGACAGGAAUUGUGUAGCUAUGUUGACAUUUGUAUUCACCGUUUAAUUAGAAUGUUUAACACAUUGAGAGUGUCUGUCAGGUCAAAUGACUUAGACAAGCCACCUGGGAGACACACCAAACAUGUGGAAGAAGGUGCUCUGGUCAGAUGAAACCAAAAUUGAACUUUUUGGCAACAAUGCAAAACGUUAUG
Molecule: long non-coding RNA, 1918 nt
Organism: Oncorhynchus kisutch (coho salmon)
Lineage: Eukaryota; Metazoa; Chordata; Actinopteri; Salmoniformes; Salmonidae
Exons: 5
Source: RefSeq, a predicted model, not a curated record